GCUUUUCGGUUUAAAAGCCGCCCCGGAAGUUUUGGCUCCUCCAUAGUUUGAAUGGCGCGUGUGUGGAGAGUGUACGUGAGAGAGUGUUUGGCGACUGCUUGGUUGAGUGAGUGUUGUGUGUUUGUGAGUGUGAAUGUGUAUUCCUGUAAAAAACCUACACAGUGAUCUUAUUUGAUCCGAUCUGAGUUCGGCUCUGCUCCGAUCGGAGAUGAUAGGAAAAACGCUCGCUAGCCUCCGGGGCGAUGAGCAGCAGGCAAGAUUUAAACCUCCAGGGCCUUCCACUGCUUCAUGCUGUGGUGAGAGAUGAUGAAUUGAUCAGAUAUACUAGUUCUGGGUGAGUUUGAGGUCCACCUCAAACUUCACAAUGGACAAUGAGUAAAGAGGCGAUUCUGAUCUAA
Lates calcarifer (barramundi perch) is the source of this 398-nucleotide non-coding RNA. RefSeq annotates it as small Cajal body-specific RNA 2. The transcript has a single exon. Lineage: Eukaryota; Metazoa; Chordata; Actinopteri; Centropomidae. The record is from RefSeq and is a predicted model, not a curated record.